UCCCUGGUAGUUAAACUGGUAAAGAAUCUGCCUGCAAUGCAGGAGACCUGGGUUUGAUUCCUGGGUAGGGAA
RNAcentral lists this transfer RNA (72 nucleotides) under Bos taurus (domestic cattle). It matches the Rfam family "tRNA". From Rfam's summary of the family: Transfer RNA (tRNA) molecules are approximately 80 nucleotides in length. The record is from Rfam by way of RNAcentral. RNAcentral also lists the same sequence under 1 other name. Lineage: Eukaryota; Metazoa; Chordata; Mammalia; Artiodactyla; Bovidae.